This 266-nucleotide ribosomal RNA is filed under the name Cyphomyrmex rimosus. RNAcentral describes it as "partial large subunit ribosomal RNA". The record is from RNAcentral. Lineage: Eukaryota; Metazoa; Arthropoda; Insecta; Hymenoptera; Formicidae.
GAAUUUUAUAUAAAUCUAUUUAAAUUUUUAAUAUUCAUUUAUAUAAUUUAAAUAAAUAUUAAAAAAAGUUAAAUUUGAUUUAAAAUAUGAGAUUAUAUUUAAUUGGGAGGAUUUUUAAGAUAAAUAAACUUUAAAUUUAAAAUUAUUACAUAAAUAAAUGGAUUAAUUUAAAAAAAAAGAAUGGUUAGUAGAUUAAUAAAGAAAUAAUUACCUUAGGGAUAACAGCGUAAUAUUUUUGGAUAGAUCAUAUAAAUAAAAAUGAUUGC